Molecule: transfer RNA, 84 nt
Filed under: Solirubrobacterales bacterium
Lineage: Bacteria; Bacillati; Actinomycetota; Thermoleophilia; Solirubrobacterales
Also listed under: 1 other name
Description: tRNA-Leu
Rfam family: tRNA
About the family: Transfer RNA (tRNA) molecules are approximately 80 nucleotides in length. Their secondary structure includes four short double-helical elements and three loops (D, anti-codon, and T loops).
Source: RNAcentral
GCGGCUGUGGCGGAAUUGGUCUACGCGCACGGUUCAGGUCCGUGUGGGCGCAAGCCCUUGGGGGUUCGAGUCCCUCCAGCCGCA